This 125-nucleotide small RNA is filed under the name Marmota monax (woodchuck). Lineage: Eukaryota; Metazoa; Chordata; Mammalia; Rodentia; Sciuridae. The record is from RNAcentral.
GCUGGGCGUGGUGGUGCAUGCCUGUAAUCCCAGUGGCUCCGGAGGCUGAGGCAGGAGGAUCGCAAGUUCAAAACCAGCUUCAGAAAAAGUGAGACACUAAGCAACUCAGUGAGACCUUGUCUCUA